GGAGUGUGGCGGAAAUGGUAAACGCGCUGGUCCGCUAAACCAGAGAGCAAUGUUUGUCUCUUGUGGGUUCAAGUCCCACCGCCUCCG
RNAcentral lists this transfer RNA (87 nucleotides) under Chloracidobacterium sp. RNAcentral's name for it is "tRNA-Ser". It matches the Rfam family "tRNA". From Rfam's summary of the family: Transfer RNA (tRNA) molecules are approximately 80 nucleotides in length. Their secondary structure includes four short double-helical elements and three loops (D, anti-codon, and T loops). Further hydrogen bonds mediate the characteristic L-shaped molecular structure. tRNAs have two regions of fundamental functional importance: the anti-codon, which is responsible for specific mRNA codon recognition, and the 3' end, to which the tRNAs corresponding amino acid is attached (by aminoacyl-tRNA synthetases). tRNAs cope with the degeneracy of the genetic code in two manners: having more than one tRNA (with a specific anti-codon) for a particular amino acid; and 'wobble' base-pairing, i.e. permitting non-standard base-pairing at the 3rd anti-codon position. Lineage: Bacteria; Pseudomonadati; Acidobacteriota; Blastocatellia; Chloracidobacteriales; Chloracidobacteriaceae. The record is from RNAcentral.